UCGGAUGUGGUGCAUGGUGCACUCCUGCUGGUCAUGGAAAAGUUUUGUGUGGGCAUGAGGCGGGAGCACCGGGUUCGACUCCCGGCGUCCGAA
Non-coding RNA from Mycena leptocephala, 93 nucleotides. Lineage: Eukaryota; Fungi; Basidiomycota; Agaricomycetes; Agaricales; Mycenaceae. The record is from the annotation of a GenBank genome assembly.